RNAcentral lists this ribosomal RNA (1475 nucleotides) under Candidatus Pelagibacter sp. Its description in RNAcentral is "bacterial SSU rRNA". It matches the Rfam family "Bacterial small subunit ribosomal RNA". Lineage: Bacteria; Pseudomonadati; Pseudomonadota; Alphaproteobacteria; Candidatus Pelagibacterales; Candidatus Pelagibacteraceae. The record is from RNAcentral.
AAACUUGAGAGUUUGAUCAUGGCUCAGAACGUACGCUGGCGGCACGCCUAACACAUGCAAGUCGAACGAAGUAGCAAUACUUAGUGGCAGACGGGUGAGUAACAUGUAGGUAUCUACCCUUUGGCCUGGAAUAACACGAGGAAACUUGUGCUAAUACCGGAUAAGUCUUUACAGAGAAAGCUUUAUGCACCAUUGGAUGAGCCUGCACUUGAUUAGUUUGUUGGUGGGGUAAUGGCCUACCAAGACUGUGAUCAAUAGCUGAUUUGAGAGGAUGAUCAGCCACAUUGGGACUGAGACACGGCCCAAACUCCUACGGGAGGCAGCAGUGGGGAAUCUUGCACAAUGGAGGAAACUCUGAUGCAGCGAUGCCGCGUGAGUGAAGAAGGCCCUUGGGUUGUAAAGCUCUUUCGUCGGGGAAGAAAAUGACUGUACCCGAAUAAGAAGGUCCGGCUAACUUCGUGCCAGCAGCCGCGGUAAUACGAAGGGACCUAGCGUAGUUCGGAAUUACUGGGCUUAAAGAGUUCGUAGGUGGUUGAAAAAGUUGGUGGUGAAAUCCCAGAGCUUAACUCUGGAACUGCCAUCAAAACUUUUCAGCUAGAGUAUGAUAGAGGAAAGCAGAAUUUCUAGUGUAGAGGUGAAAUUCGUAGAUAUUAGAAAGAAUACCAAUUGCGAAGGCAGCUUUCUGGAUCAUUACUGACACUGAGGAACGAAAGCAUGGGUAGCGAAGAGGAUUAGAUACCCUCGUAGUCCAUGCCGUAAACGAUGUGUGUUAGACGUUGGAAAUUUAUUUUCAGUGUCGCAGCGAAAGCGAUAAACACACCGCCUGGGGAGUACGACCGCAAGGUUAAAACUCAAAUGAAUUGACGGGGACCCGCACAAGUAGUGGAGCAUGUGGUUUAAUUCGAAGAUACGCGCAGAACCUUACCAACACUUGACAUGUUCGUCGCGACUCUAAGAGAUUAGAGUUUUCGGUUCGGCCGGACGAAACACAGGUGCUGCAUGGCUGUCGUCAGCUCGUGUCGUGAGAUGUUGGGUUAAGUCCCGCAACGAGCGCAACCCUCACUUUUAGUUGCCAUCAUUAAGUUGGGCACUCUGAAAGAACUGCCAGUGAUAAGCUGGAGGAAGGUGGGGAUGACGUCAAGUCCUCAUGGCCCUUACGUGUUGGGCUACACACGUGCUACAAUGGUAUCUACAACAGGAAGCAAAACUGCGAAGUUAAGCAAAUCCUUAAAAGAUACCUCAGUUCGGAUUGCACUCUGCAACUCGAGUGCAUGAAGCUGGAAUUACUAGUAAUCGUGGAUCAGCGUGCCACGGUGAAUGCGUUCCCGGGUCUUGUACACACCGCCCGUCACACCAUGGGAGUUGGUUCUACCUUAAGGCAAGGUUUCAAACCCUUGACCACGGUAUAGUCAGCGACUGGGGUGAAGUCGUAACAAGGUAGCCGUAGGGGAACCUGCGGCUGGAUUACCUCCUUU